AAGGCCACGAGGCCUUGUUUCUGCCUCCACGCAGUUCCCACACACAAGGCAAUCCUCACAACUCUCAUUCCGCUCACGAAUUUUCAGUGGAGACCAGGAGCCAAGGAUACCUCUCGUCCACCACUCCCACAGAGACACAGCUUUAUGGAUCAUCCCUGAGCUAACAUCUUCCAAUCCUCCUCUUUUUGCUGAGGAAGACUGGCCCUGAGCUAACAGCCGUGCCCAUCUUCCUCAAUUUUACAUGUCGGAUUCCUAUCACCACAUGGCUCGAUGAGUGGUGCCGUGUCUGCACCUGGAAUCCAAACCGGAGAACCCAGGCUACCGAAGAAGAACAUGCGACCUUAACCGCUGCGCCACCGGGCCGGCCCCAGUGUGAAUUCUCAUCAAGACUUUUUGUUGUGGAUGUUAUUUCUACUAAAACACAAAAAUGGCUUUGGUAAUAUAUUAGUUAGGGUUAGGGUUCUUCAAAGAAACCGAACCAACAGGAUGUAUAUAGAGAGAGAGAGUGACUUAUUUUAAAGAAUUGGAUCACGUGAUUGUGGAGGCUUGGCAAGUCCAAAAUCUGAUGGGGGAGGUUGGCAGUCUGGUGACCCAGGGAAGAAUUUAGUUCAAGUCCCAAGGCAGUCUGCUGGCAGAAUUCCUUCUUGUUCAAAGGAUGUCGGUGUCUGUUCUCUUAAGGCCUUCAACUGAUUGGAUGAGGCCCUCCCACAUUAUGGAGAGUAAUCUAUUUUACUCAAAAUAUGCCAGUUUAAAUGUUAAUCUCAUCCAAAAAACACCUUCAUAGAAACAUCCAGAAUAAUGUUUGACCAAAUAUCUAGGCACUGUGGCCCAGGUAAGUUGAUACAUAAAAUUAGCCACCAUAGGUAGGUUAUUCCAAAUAGACAUAUUUUGGAUUUGCCUGCUUUGUGUCUGCUUCACUUACCCAUGAGCUCCCUAGGCACACUGGUUUUCGGGAGAGUAGGUGAUUGAUAAAUGUGAGGUGACUUUCAUACAAUGAGGCCAAAG
This 1005-nucleotide long non-coding RNA is filed under the name Equus asinus (donkey). RNAcentral describes it as "lncRNA (ENSEASG00005038478.1)". The record is from RNAcentral. Lineage: Eukaryota; Metazoa; Chordata; Mammalia; Perissodactyla; Equidae.